UAUAGGGGAGCCGCAGGGAAACCGAGUCUUAACUGGGCGUUAAGUUGCAGGGUAUAGACCCGAAACCCGGUGAUCUAGCCAUGGGCAGGUUGAAGGUUGGGUAACACUAACUGGAGGACCGAACCGACUAAUGUUGAAAAAUUAGCGGAUGACUUGUGGCUGGGGGUGAAAGGCCAAUCAAACCGGGAGAUAGCUGGUUCUCCCCGAAAGCUAUUUAGGUAGCGCCUCGUGAAUUCAUCUUCGGGGGUAGAGCACUGUUUCGGCUAGGGGGUCAUCCCGACUUACCAACCCGAUGCAAACUACGAAUACCGAAGAAUGUUAUCACGGGAGACACACGGCGGGUGCUAACGUCCGUCGUGAAGAGGGAAACAACCCAGACCGCCAGCUAAGGUCCCAAAGUCAUGGUUAAGUGGGAAACGAUGUGGGAAGGCACAGACAGCCAGGAUGUUGGCUUAGAAGCAGCCAUCAUUUAAAGAAAGCGUAAUAGCUCACUGGUCGAGUCGGCCUGCGCGGAAGAUGUAACGGGGCUAAACCAUGCACCGAAGCUGCGGCAGCGACACUAUGUGUUGUUGGGUAGGGGAGCGUUCUGUAAGCCUGCGAAGGUGACCUGUGAGGGUUGCUGGAGGUAUCAGAAGUGCGAAUGCUGACAUAAGUAACGAUAAAGCGGGUGAAAAGCCCGCUCGCCGGAAGACCAAGGGUUCCUGUCCAACGUUAAUCGGGGCAGGGUGAGUCGACCCCUAAGGCGAGGCCGAAAGGCGUAGUCGAUGGGAAACAGGUUAAUAUUCCUGUACUUGGUGUUACUGCGAAGGGGGGACGGAGAAGGCUAUGUUAGCCGGGCGACGGUUGUCCCGGUUUAAGCAUGUAGGCUGGUU
Molecule: ribosomal RNA, 872 nt
Filed under: Klebsiella pneumoniae
Lineage: Bacteria; Pseudomonadati; Pseudomonadota; Gammaproteobacteria; Enterobacterales; Enterobacteriaceae
Description: partial 23S ribosomal RNA
Rfam family: Bacterial large subunit ribosomal RNA
Source: RNAcentral